Molecule: ribosomal RNA, 505 nt
Filed under: uncultured Glissomonadida
Lineage: Eukaryota; Cercozoa; Glissomonadida
Description: bacterial SSU rRNA
Rfam family: Eukaryotic small subunit ribosomal RNA
Source: RNAcentral
AGCAGCCGCGGUAAUUCCAGCUCCAAUAGCGUAUAUUAAAGUUGUUGCAGUUAAAAAGCUCGUAGUUGAAUUUCGGGGUUCUACCGUUGGUCAGGCUAUUGUCUGUACUGGUGUGUAGAAUUUCUACCUUCUGGGGAACUAUCAUGUUAUUAAUUUAGCGUGGUAGGAAACCAGGACCUUUACCUUGAAAAAAUUAGAGUGUUCAAAGCAGGCUUAUGUCUGAAUACAUUAGCAUGGAAUAAUAAUUUAGGACUUCGGUUCUAUUUUGUUGGUUUCUAGGACUGAAGUAAUGAUUGAUAGGGACAGUUGGGGGUGCUAGUAUUCAGCGGCCAGAGGUGAAAUUCUCGGAUUCGCUGAAGACUAACUUAUGCGAAAGCAUUCACCAAGGAUGUCUUCUUUAAUCAAGAACGAAAGUUGGGGGAUCGAAGACGAUCAGAUACCGUCGUAGUCUCAACCAUAAACUAUGCCGACUAGGGAUCGGACGAUGUUAACUUUUCUUGACUCG